This 763-nucleotide ribosomal RNA is filed under the name uncultured beta proteobacterium. Its description in RNAcentral is "bacterial SSU rRNA". It matches the Rfam family "Bacterial small subunit ribosomal RNA", at positions 107 to 868 of the family's 1533-position model. Lineage: Bacteria; Pseudomonadati; Pseudomonadota; Betaproteobacteria. The record is from RNAcentral.
UGAGUAAUAUAUCGGAACGUGCCCAGUCGUGGGGGAUAACGUAGCGAAAGUUACGCUAAUACCGCAUACGAUCUAAGGAUGAAAGCGGGGGAUCGCAAGACCUCGCGCGAUUGGAGCGGCCGAUAUCAGAUUAGGUAGUUGGUGGGGUAAAGGCUCACCAAGCCAACGAUCUGUAGCUGGUCUGAGAGGACGACCAGCCACACUGGAACUGAGACACGGUCCAGACUCCUACGGGAGGCAGCAGUGGGGAAUUUUGGACAAUGGACGAAAGUCUGAUCCAGCCAUUCCGCGUGCAGGAUGAAGGCCCUCGGGUUGUAAACUGCUUUUGUACGGAACGAAAAGGUUUCUAUUAAUACUAGGAGCUCAUGACGGUACCGUAAGAAUAAGCACCGGCUAACUACGUGCCAGCAGCCGCGGUAAUACGUAGGGUGCAAGCGUUAAUCGGAAUUACUGGGCGUAAAGCGUGCGCAGGCGGUUAUAUAAGACAGAUGUGAAAUCCCCGGGCUCAACCUGGGAACUGCAUUUGUGACUGUAUAGCUAGAGUACGGUAGAGGGGGAUGGAAUUCCGCGUGUAGCAGUGAAAUGCGUAGAUAUGCGGAGGAACACCGAUGGCGAAGGCAAUCCCCUGGACCUGUACUGACGCUCAUGCACGAAAGCGUGGGGAGCAAACAGGAUUAGAUACCCUGGUAGUCCACGCCCUAAACGAUGUCAACUGGUUGUUGGGUCUUCACUGACUCAGUAACGAAGCUAACGCGUGAAGUGA